RNAcentral lists this unclassified non-coding RNA (344 nucleotides) under Rhodotorula toruloides. The record is from RNAcentral. Lineage: Eukaryota; Fungi; Basidiomycota; Microbotryomycetes; Sporidiobolales; Sporidiobolaceae.
AACCUCACCUCGGACCCGCCUACCGCUCGUCCCACAGCUCCUGGAGAUCCAGCUAUUCUCGCGAGCCCAAAAGGAGGAGGAUGGAGACUCACUCUGUGUGGGCAUGUGUGAGCACUGAUGAGGAGGCAGAGGUGGCUUUCGGCGGGUCAGGAGUUACGGCGCUCCCAACUGCAGCAGUCCCUCCGCUUUGCGAGCAAGGCACCUCCACGACCCUUCCUGCUCCGACGAGCGUGCUACAAUGCAGCGCAUCGCCGGACGACGCCUGAGAAGUCGCGCCAACGAGCUAACAAUCAAGACCCAACGCUUCGACCGAGAUCUCCUCCUGGACCUGCAACUUGCUCUUC